RNAcentral lists this ribosomal RNA (723 nucleotides) under uncultured bacterium. RNAcentral's name for it is "bacterial SSU rRNA". It matches the Rfam family "Bacterial small subunit ribosomal RNA", at positions 87 to 809 of the family's 1533-position model. The record is from RNAcentral.
GUCGGCGACCGGCGCACGGGUGCGUAACGCGUAUGCAACCUACCCAUUACAGGGGGAUAACACUGAGAAAUCGGUACUAAUACCCCAUAACAUCCAGGGAGGCAUCUUCUUGGGUUGAAAACUCCGGUGGUAAUGGAUGGGCAUGCGUUGUAUUAGUUAGUUGGUGGGGUAACGGCUCACCAAGACGACGAUACAUAGGGGGACUGAGAGGUUAACCCCCCACAUUGGUACUGAGACACGGACCAAACUCCUACGGGAGGCAGCAGUGAGGAAUAUUGGUCAAUGGACGCAAGUCUGAACCAGCCAUGCCGCGUGCAGGAAGACGGCUCUAUGAGUUGUAAACUGCUUUUGUACGAGGGUAAACGCAGAUACGUGUAUCUGUCUGAAAGUAUCGUACGAAUAAGGAUCGGCUAACUCCGUGCCAGCAGCCGCGGUAAUACGUAGGGGGCAAGCGUUAUCCGGAUUUACUGGGUGUAAAGGGAGCGUAGACGGCGAUGCAAGCCAGAUGUGAAAGCCCGCGGCUCAACUGCGGUAGUGCAUUUGGAACUGUAUGGCUGGAGUGCAGGAGAGGCAGGCGGAAUUCCUAGUGUAGCGGUGAAAUGCGUAGAUAUUAGGAGGAACACCAGUGGCGAAGGCGGCCUGCUGGACUGUAACUGACGUUGAGGCUCGAAAGCGUGNGGAGCAAACAGGAUUAGAUACCCUGNUAGUCCACGCUGUAAACGA